Long non-coding RNA from Phyllopteryx taeniolatus (common seadragon), 725 nucleotides. RefSeq lists it as uncharacterized. The record is from RefSeq and is a predicted model, not a curated record. Lineage: Eukaryota; Metazoa; Chordata; Actinopteri; Syngnathiformes; Syngnathidae. The transcript is spliced from 3 exons.
CUCGUUUGCCCCCCUCCAUUUCCUUCUCUCUUAGUUUCCAUGCCUGCCAGUUAAACAUGAAAACUUUGCCUGGCAGCGUCUCCAGCGCAUACAGAGACAGACCUCCACCUCUUGUUUAUCCCUGUCAGCCAUCUGGACAGAACAAGACCAGAGGUUCAACCACAGGUAGUGACUCCAAAUUGCAGUUUCUCCAACUUUUUGGAGCUCUCUGUUCCUCGCUGGAGAAAGUACACACCAUGUAUGCAAUGUACAGUAUGCACAGCAUUGAAGAUGGUCGCGGGCGUGCUGGAGCCUAUCCCAGGUGUCAUCGGGCAGGAGGCGGAGUACACCCUGAACUGGUUGCCAGCCAAUCGCAGGCCACAUAGAAACAAACAACCAUUCGCACUCACAGUCAUGCCUACGGGCAAUUUAGAGUCUCCAAUUAAUGCAUGUUUUUGGGAUGUGGGAGGAAACCGGAGUGCCCGGAGAAAACCCACGCAGGCACGGGGAGAACAUGCAAACUCCACACAGGCGGGGCUGGGGAUUGAACCUGGGUCCCCAGAACUGUGAGGCUGACGCUCUAACCCUUCGGCCACCGUGCCGCCGCCGCAGUUUAUUCCACUAAACUGAAAAGUAUUAUCUCACUUUUAGUUUGGGUAAGCAAAAUCCUCAUAGGCAAUUUCCAGGGACCAUGUUGUAAUAGACUCUGUGCCCCAACUAUUCCCCCGGUGCGUCAUCCACAAAUA